Molecule: ribosomal RNA, 464 nt
Filed under: uncultured bacterium
Lineage: Bacteria
Description: partial 16S ribosomal RNA
Rfam family: Bacterial small subunit ribosomal RNA
Source: RNAcentral
GACGAACGCUGGCGGCGUGCUUAACACAUGCAAGUCGAACGGAAAGGCCCUGCUUGCAGGGUACUCGAGUGGCGAACGGGUGAGUAACACGAAGGUGAUCUGCCCUGCACUUCGGGAUAAGCCUGGGAAACUGGGUCUAAUACCGGUACGGAGCCAUUUUUAGUGUGAUGGUUGGAAAGUUUUGUCGGUGUAGGAUGAGCUCGCGGCCUAUCAGCUUGUUGGUGGGGUAAUGGCCUACCAAGGCGGCGACGGGUAGCCGGCCUGAGAGGGUGGACGGCCACAUUGGGACUGAGAUACGGCCCAGACUCCUACGGGAGGCAGCAGUGGGGAAUAUUGCACAAUGGGCGGAAGCCUGAUGCAGCGACGCCGCGUGGGGGAUGACUGCCUUCGGGUUGUAAACUCCUUUCGCUAGGGACGAAGCUUUUGUGACGGUACCUAGAUAAGAAGCACCGGCUAACUACGUG